Molecule: ribosomal RNA, 510 nt
Filed under: uncultured bacterium
Lineage: Bacteria
Description: partial 16S ribosomal RNA
Rfam family: Bacterial small subunit ribosomal RNA
Source: RNAcentral
GACGAACGCUGGCGGCGUGCUUAACACAUGCAAGUCGAACGAAGAGCGACGGAAGCUUGCUUCUCUCAAUCUUAGUGGCGAACGGGUGAGUAACGCGUAAUCAACCUGCCCUUCAGAGGGGGACAACAGUUGGAAACGACUGCUAAUACCGCAUACGAUCUAAUCUCGGCAUCGAGGAUGGAUGAAAGGUGGCCUCUACAUGUAAGCUAUCACUGAAGGAGGGGAUUGCGUCUGAUUAGCUAGUUGGAGGGGUAACGGCCCACCAAGGCGAUGAUCAGUAGCCGGUCUGAGAGGAUGAACGGCCACAUUGGGACUGAGACACGGCCCAGACUCCUACGGGAGGCAGCAGUGGGGAAUCUUCCGCAAUGGCCGAAAGUCUGACGGAGCAACGCCGCGUGAGUGAUGACGGCCUUCGGGUUGUAAAGCUCUGUUAAUCGGGACGAAAGGCCUUCUUGCGAAUAGUGAGAAGGAUUGACGGUACCGGAAGAGAAAGCCACGGCUAACUACGUG